ACACGGACCAAGAAGUCUAGAAUAUGCGCGAGUCAAAGGGCUGGCUAAACCCCUAGGCGAAACGAAAGUGAAAACGUUUUUUCUUCAUAGGGCCGAUCCGGUUCGAGGUGCGCUAGCGGGAGUCUUUCCCCCUCCGCAGUCUCUUCGGUAUCUGUCGUUCCUCAAGGGGGGCGGCCGGUAUCGGAGUCCUGCGGGGGUGGCUCCCUUCCUUUCCCCUCGAUUUGUCUCCCUUUAAGUAUGAGGACGGCGCAGGCUCGGGGCUCGCACGCGACCUCCCCACCGUUAAGGCCUAACCGUUCGCACCCUUCGACGCUCGCGGUUCGUCGAAACUUCGUCGCUUCUCCCGCUCGCCCUGGCUGUCGUGGCCGCUACUCGCCUCUCAAAAGGAGGAAAGAGGGCGGUUGCGGCUCCAGGAUCGGUCGAGGGCGGUCGGCGGGGUCGAGACACCGUCAGCGCGUCGGUCGGGGUAGUCGGUUCGCUGGCGCGGGACGAGCGGCGGGUUCUUGGAGCGCAUAUUCUAGUACCCGAAAGAUGGUGAUCUAUGCCUGGCCAGGAUGAAGCCAGAGGAAACUCUGGUGGAGGUCCGUAGCGAUUCUGACGUGCAAAUCGAUC
RNAcentral lists this ribosomal RNA (612 nucleotides) under Cyphodillidium absoloni. Its description in RNAcentral is "partial large subunit ribosomal RNA". It matches the Rfam family "Eukaryotic large subunit ribosomal RNA", at positions 659 to 903 of the family's 3401-position model. Lineage: Eukaryota; Metazoa; Arthropoda; Malacostraca; Isopoda; Armadillidiidae. The record is from RNAcentral.